Molecule: non-coding RNA, 561 nt
Organism: Misgurnus anguillicaudatus (oriental weatherfish)
Lineage: Eukaryota; Metazoa; Chordata; Actinopteri; Cypriniformes; Cobitidae
Source: the annotation of a RefSeq genome assembly
GUCAUUGACAACUCACUCAAUGAUUUAUCUCUUCCUCCUGUUUCAGUCACUGCAUCAAAAUGAAGACACUUUGGUUGUUGAAGGUGGUGAUUUUGGCAUCAAUUUGUCAUGAUUGUCAUGGAGAAGAGAAAGUUGAUCAGCCAGAAACACAAAUCACUGAGUCUGAAGGAGGAUCAGUAACUUUACAUUGUAAAUUUAAAACAGCUUCUGGGCAGCCAGAUCUCUUCUGGUACAUCCAGAAACUAAAUGACUUUCCUAAAUACAUCCUGAGGAGAAGUAAAUAUGGAGGAGAUAAUGGCACUGAGUUUCAGAAGAGAUUUCACUCUGAAUUAAAGUCAGAUUCAGUUCCUCUGAUAAUUCAGGAUCUUCAUGUGUCUGACUCUGCUGUGUAUUAUUGUGCUCUGAGGCCCACUGUGACUAAAACACAUUCAACACUCAUACAAUAACAGAGGAAGCACUCAAUCUUUCUGUUGUGAUCAUUUACAUUCACUACCAGCAAAACAUUAUUGAUGUGGUGAGAGUAUGCAGACAUUUCUGAAUGUAUAUUAUAUGGACAAAAGC